This 1505-nucleotide ribosomal RNA is filed under the name Candidatus Bathyarchaeota archaeon. RNAcentral's name for it is "bacterial SSU rRNA". It matches the Rfam family "Archaeal small subunit ribosomal RNA". The record is from RNAcentral. Lineage: Archaea; Thermoproteati; Candidatus Bathyarchaeota.
AUUCCGAUUGAUCCCGUCGGACCCCACUGCUAUCGAGGUGGGACUAAGCCAUGCUAGUCGAACGACCAGAACUAUGUCUGGAAGUGGCACACUGCUCAGUAACACGUAGCUAACCUACCCUUAGAACGGAGACAACCCCGAGAAAUUGGGGCUAAUCUGCGAUAGGUAUGAUGUCCUGGAAUGGUAUUAUGCUGAAAGGGGUCCCAAACAUGUUUUGUGACCUGUCUAAGGAUGGGGCUGCGGCCGAUCAGGCAGUUGGUGGGGUAAAGGCCCACCAAACCUUUGACCGGUACGGGCCAUGAGAGUGGUAGCCCGGAGAUGGGCACUGAGACAAGGGCCCAGGCCCUACGGGGCGCAGCAGGCGCGAAACCUCCUCAAUGCACACACGUGUGAAGGGGUUACCUCGAGUGCUACCUGAAGAAGGUGGCUUUUCUUGGGUCUAAAACGCCCGAGGAAUAAGAGGGGGGCAAGACUGGUGUCAGCCGCCGCGGUAACACCAGCCCCUCGAGUGGUGGGGAUGAUUAUUUGGUCUAAAGCGUCCGUAGCCGGCUGAGUAAGUUUCCCGUUAAAUCCAGCGUCUCAAGCGUUGGACUGCGGGAAAUACUGCUCGGCUAGAGAGUGGGAGAGGUCAACGGUAUUCUGGGGGUAGGGGCGAAAUCCUUUGAUCCCCGGAGGACCACCAGUGGCGAAGGCUGUUGACAAGAACACGUCUGACGGUCAGGGACGAAAGCUGGGGUAGCGAACCGGAUUAGAUACCCGGGUAGUCCCAGCCGUAAACGAUGCAUGCUAGGUGUUAGGUUGGCCACGUGCCACCCUAGUGCCGCAGGGAAGCCGUUAAGCAUGCCACCUGGGGAGUACGGCCGCAAGGCUGAAACUUAAAGGAAUUGGCGGGGGAGCACCACCAGGCGUGAAGCCUGCGGUUUAAUUGGAGUCAACGCCGGGAAUCUUACCGGGAGCGACAGCAGAGUGAAGGCCAGGCUGAAGACCUUGCCAGACAAGCUGAGAGGAGGUGCAUGGCCGUCGCCAGUUCGUGCCGUGAGGUGUUCUCUUAAGUGAGAUAACGAACGAGACCCGUGCCACAUGUUGCCAUCAGAUCCUAUAGGGAUGCUGGGCACUCUUGUGGGACCGCAGCCGAUAAGGCUGAGGAAGGUGCGGGCAACGGCAGGUCAGUAUGCCCCGAAUCUCCCGGGCCACACGCGGGCUGCAAUGGUACGGACAGAGGGCUGCAACCCCGAAAGGGGAAGCCAAUCCCUAAACCGUAUCUCAGUUGGGAUUGAGGGCUGCAACCCGCCCUCAUGAACAUGGAAUGCCUAGUAACUGCACGUCAUCAUCGUGCGGUGAAUACGUCCCUGCUCCUUGCACACACUGCCCGUCGAACCACCCGAAUGUCGUUUGGAUGAGGCAUGGUCGAAAGUUGGCCGUGUCGAAUCUGGGCAACGUAAGGAGGGUUAAGUCGUAACAAGGUGGCCGUAGGGGAACCUGCGGCCGGAUCACCUCCUAAGAAA